Molecule: ribosomal RNA, 400 nt
Filed under: uncultured bacterium
Lineage: Bacteria
Description: bacterial SSU rRNA
Rfam family: Bacterial small subunit ribosomal RNA
Source: RNAcentral
GGAAUUUUGCGCAAUGGGGGAAACCCUGACGCAGCAACGCCGCGUGAUUGAAGAAGCCCUUCGGGGUGUAAAGAUCUGUCAGUGGGGGCGAAACUUGACGGUACCCACAGAGGAAGCAUCGGCUAACUCCGUGCCAGCAGCCGCGGUAAUACGGGGGAUGCAAGCGUUGUCCGGAAUCAUUGGGCGUAAAGAGUUCGUAGGUGGUUUGUUAAGUUAGGGGUUAAAUUCCGAGGCUCAACUUCGGUCAGGCACUUGAUACUGGCAGACUUGAAUGCGGUAGAGGUAAAGGGAAUUCCUGGUGUAGCGGUGAAAUGCGUAGAUAUCAGGAGGAACAUCGGUGGCGUAAGCGCUUUACUGGGCCGUAAUUGACACUGAGGAACGAAAGCCGGGGUAGCAAAUG